AUUGAACGCUGGCGGCAUGCCUUACACAUGCAAGUCGAACGGUAACAGGUCUUCGGAUGCUGACGAGUGGCGAACGGGUGAGUAAUACAUCGGAACGUGCCUAGUAGUGGGGGAUAACUACUCGAAAGAGUGGCUAAUACCGCAUGAGAUCUACGGAUGAAAGCAGGGGAUCGCAAGGCCUUGUGCUACUAGAGCGGCCGAUGGCAGAUUAGGUAGUUGGUGGGAUAAAAGCUUACCAAGCCGACGAUCUGUAGCUGGUCUGAGAGGACGAUCAGCCGCAGUGGGACUGAGACACGGCCCAGCACCCUGCGGGGGGCAGAAGUGGGGAAUGUUGGACAAUGGGCGCAAGCCUGAUCCAGCAAUGCCGCGGGCAGGAUGAAGGCCUUCGGGUUGUAACCUGCUUCUGUACGGAACGAAAACCCCUGGGUUAAUACCCGGGGGUCAUGACGGUACCGUAAGAAUAAGCACCGGCUAACUCCGUGCCAGCCGCCGAAGUAA
RNAcentral lists this ribosomal RNA (498 nucleotides) under uncultured bacterium. RNAcentral describes it as "partial 16S ribosomal RNA". It matches the Rfam family "Bacterial small subunit ribosomal RNA", at positions 30 to 523 of the family's 1533-position model. The record is from RNAcentral.